Molecule: ribosomal RNA, 453 nt
Filed under: uncultured bacterium
Lineage: Bacteria
Description: partial 16S ribosomal RNA
Rfam family: Bacterial small subunit ribosomal RNA
Source: RNAcentral
AUGAACGCUGACAGAAUGCUUAACACAUGCAAGUCAACUUGAACUUCGGUUUGGGUGGCGGACGGGUGAGUAACGCGUAAAGAACUUGCCUCACAGAUAGGGACAACAUUUGGAAACGAAUGCUAAUACCUGAUAUUAUGAUUUUAGGGCAUCCUAGGAUUAUGAAAGCUAUAUGCGCUGUGAGAGAGCUUUGCGUCCCAUUAGCUAGUUGGAGAGGUAACGGCUCACCAAGGCGAUGAUGGGUAGCCGGCCUGAGAGGGUGAUCGGCCACAAGGGGACUGAGACACGGCCCUUACUCCUACGGGAGGCAGCAGUGGGGAAUAUUGGACAAUGGACCAAGAGUCUGAUACAGCAAUUCUGUGUGCACGAUGAAGUUUUUCGGAAUGUAAAGUGCUUUCAGUUGGGAAGAAAAAAAUGACGGUACCAACAGAAGAAGUGACGGCUAAAUACGUG